Molecule: long non-coding RNA, 671 nt
Organism: Myotis brandtii (Brandt's bat)
Lineage: Eukaryota; Metazoa; Chordata; Mammalia; Chiroptera; Vespertilionidae
Exons: 5
Source: RefSeq, a predicted model, not a curated record
CCUUGAGUUCCUCCAUGACCAGACCGUGAGCCUCCAAGAAAGGAUUGUGCUUUUUCACAUCUCUCCAAAGAGUCUGGGAUAUAGUAGAAAAGAAGGCUCUUGCGGUUUGGGAUUGAGCAUUCAGAGAAGAAAUGGGGCGACCACUCUUGGAAUACGGCAUCUGCUUCUGGCUGCUCAUGACUGGGUUUAUGGAAACCAGCUGGAUGAUGUUCAAAGAAAAGCUCCAGAAUGAUUAAGGGGCUGAUGGCAUUGAUUAAUAAGGAAAGCUUGAAAGAAUUAAAUGCGCACAGCUCAGCCAAGCAAAGACUGAGGAAAAACAAGCUGAUGCAGAUGAAAUAAAAGACAGAGGGAGAGAUCCCGUCUACAAUGCAAAGCCAUCCUGGAUUUUCGUUGGCGUUUUUGAAAUUUCGUUGGCUGCUUUUGACUUACAUUCAAAUCAGAGUUUGGAGCGCAGCGCGCAGGAAAGUCAUCGUCUCCUUGCAAGGUGAGACGUGGGACUGGAGAGAGAGCAGAUGGAAGGUUCAUUCUCCUGCAGUGGGUAGACUCUCUGACAGCCUGGGAGGAUUUGACACCCCUCCUGGCAGCCAGUCCAACAGCGAAGGAAAUAUCUGCUGGAACCAAGCAUGCCACUAAUCAAAUAAAGAUGCAGAACCGUAAAACAGGCUCCAUUU